Molecule: non-coding RNA, 143 nt
Organism: Alligator sinensis (Chinese alligator)
Lineage: Eukaryota; Metazoa; Chordata; Crocodylia; Alligatoridae
Source: Rfam
UAAAUUGUGCCGUGACAGUAUCACAGCCUGUGAGGUUCAACCAAGACAUGAUUAUUACUAGUUGAAAACUUUCCCCCUUCUCCCUUUUCCAUGUAUUGCUCAUGUCAGACAAUAAUACCAACAAAUAUAUAACCCCCAGGGGG